AUGCCUCACGAUGUUGUUCUGCUUUGGAUUCUCUUACGGUUUUGCCACAGCCUCCCCAAGCCGGCAGUAGAGCUGCUCCCUUAUGAAGUUCCUCGACCCCGGGUGCUCCUCGCGUCGGCUGCACUAGACGACGCAUCGAACGCGGCCAUCCCCGUCGCAGCUCCAGUUUGCGCGGGAUCCAGCAGCCACUCCCUCAUGCCUUCCCUAUGCCAGCGGCGACAUCGAACGCGGCGGGUGUUGCCAUCCUCAUCGCCGCACCAGUUCGUGCGACAUCCAGCAUAUGCAAAGAAUGCGGCGGACGUGGCCAUCCCAGACCCAGUUGUUUCCCUAGUUCGUGCGGGAUCCAGCAGGAUGACCUCGGGAAGGAGCAGGUCCAUGGGCCAUGGCCGUAUUCAUGAUCUACUGUCACUGUUGCAAGGACACUAG
This 426-nucleotide ribosomal RNA is filed under the name Triticum aestivum (bread wheat). RNAcentral describes it as "partial small subunit ribosomal RNA". Lineage: Eukaryota; Viridiplantae; Streptophyta; Magnoliopsida; Poales; Poaceae. The record is from RNAcentral.